RNAcentral lists this long non-coding RNA (351 nucleotides) under Gallus gallus (chicken). Lineage: Eukaryota; Metazoa; Chordata; Aves; Galliformes; Phasianidae. The record is from RNAcentral.
UACUAAGGUGCACUUGUUUAAGUUCCGUCAGAGGAAAAAAAACAAUUGAAAGCAGCUUCAGUGACAAGAGAAUAUUUAAUUUACAGAAUAUUUAUGUGAAUUUGUUUCUGCUCGAAAGAUUAGCUCCCAUUAAUCAGAUAAGUAAUUUAAAAAUCACUUUCUAUACUGUAGAGUGAUCACUUUAAGUACCCAUUUUUUUCUUUUUCAAUAAUCAAGCUUUUUUUUAAUCUCAUCUAACAUGUUUUCCUUCUACCUACUCUUUACCUUCUCUCUAGUGAUUCAAUACCAAGAAUAUUUUCAUAUUAGAGAACCUGGUAAAUCGCAUGUAAGGAGCCUGCAUCCUCUGCACUG